CGAAUAUACAUACCGCUCUACCCUGCCCAAUGAGGAAUUAAAUGGCCGCAGUAUUUUGACUGUGCAAAGGUAGCAUAAUUAUUAGUUUUUUAAUUGAAAGCUUGUAUGAAGGGUUGGACGAGAUAAAAUCUGUCUCUAUUUAAAUUAAAAUAGAAUUUAACUUUUAAGUCAAAAGGCUUAAAUGUCUAUAAAAGACGAGAAGACCCUAUAGAUCUUUAUUUAAUUAAUAUUUUAAUAAUUUAGGAUUAUUUUAAUUUAAAGUUUUAAUUAAAUUUUAUUGGGGUAAUAUAAAGAUUAAAAAAAUUCUUUUUAUUAAUUACAUUGAUUUAUGAAUUUAUGAUCCAAUAUUAUUGAUUAUAAGAUUAAGUUACCUUAGGGAUAACAGCGUAAUUUUUUUGGAGAGCUCAUAUCGAUAAAAAAGUUUGCGACCUCGAUGUUGGAUUAAAAAUUAUCUUGGGUGCAGAAGUUCAAGAUUUUGGUCUGUUCGACCAUUAAAUUUUUACAUGAUCUGAGUUCAGACCGGCGUAAGCCAGGUCGGUUUCUAUCUUUAUUUAAUUAAAAUAUUUUAGUACGAAAGGACCAAAUAUUUAAUAUAAUUAUAUUUAUUUUUUGAAUAAUAUUAUUACUUUGGCAGAUUAGUGCAAUGAAUUUAGAAUUCAUAUAUGUAAUUUUAUUACAGGUAAUACUUGUAUUUAGGGGAUUUAUUGUUAAUGGUACUUUGUAUAUUGAUUCUUGUAAUUUGUGUACUGGUUGGGGUAGCUUUUUUAACAUUAUUAGAACGUAAGGUAUUAGGUUAUAUUCAGAUUCGAAAGGGCCCUAAUAAGGUCGGAUUUAUG
Molecule: ribosomal RNA, 836 nt
Filed under: Cicindela hirticollis hirticollis (hairy-necked tiger beetle)
Lineage: Eukaryota; Metazoa; Arthropoda; Insecta; Coleoptera; Carabidae
Description: partial large subunit ribosomal RNA
Rfam family: Bacterial large subunit ribosomal RNA (bases 1-572)
Source: RNAcentral